RNAcentral lists this ribosomal RNA (1451 nucleotides) under Triticum aestivum (bread wheat). RNAcentral describes it as "partial small subunit ribosomal RNA". Lineage: Eukaryota; Viridiplantae; Streptophyta; Magnoliopsida; Poales; Poaceae. The record is from RNAcentral.
GGCGUGGCGUGAGGUAGCGGUAGCGGAGCGGCGGCAAGGGGCGUUGGGGGGACACACAGCUGGGUUAGAGUUAGAGUGCCUAUAGUGGGCUGCCCUGCCCUGGGCCGCGGAGCAGGAGAGGUCUAGAAUGCGGGCGGGCGGGCGGGCUCCACUCGCUAACCUCAAGGCUAACCAACCAUCCGCGACCAAGCAUCCAGAGCCUAGGUCGGUCGCACCAGAGAGCAAGGCUAACACCAACCAUCCGCGGACCAGAACAUAGGAAAGGACGGACCGAAACUCAUAAGCAUACUGAUCCUAUCCUAAAUUGAUCCCAAACAAACCAUUGUGGUGGGUCCCAAGCUAAUAGGCAUUAUUCCUUAGUUAGACUGCAAAAUCAAUCCCAAACGAACCAUUGUGUGUGUCGCAGCCAACAUUAAGACCUCUACGUUAAAAGAACGAGUGUUAUUACGUUACUUACUACCCUAGAGAUAGAUGAAACUUGGUUUAAUAUAAUAUAAGGGAGACAAUUAAUAAAAAGACAAAACCCAUAAGCAAGAAAAACAAAUCAACGGAUAGUCAUAUCAUGUACCAACUUAACGACGAAAGUGAAGUAUAAUUAUUGAUAAGACAGCGUGUUACGUUUAUACGACGACAUACCAGAGAAGGACUGUAAUUUAGGAGGAGACAAACACGACAUGGUCGACCAUCGUCGUUGAGAAGACGACGUCAGGCGGUUUUCCUUUACUGCUUCGAGAUGUUUUAGGCGAGGGUACGGGUGUAGGCUCGGGACGACCGGGCGCGGCUACUCGACCCGGCGAGGGUAUUCAAGUACGAACACUUAGAACAGAGAGACCUCAGCCACGCGUACCGCGCGCUCAGCAUACGUGAGGAGACGGGCGAGUAGUACCUCCGCUACAAGACCAGUACGCCCCUCGACCUAAGGGAGAGCCAGCACCGUCCGAACAGCGACCUUUAGGUUUUCGAGCUCGUUCUAGACAAUGGGGUCGAGUACCAAGUACUCCGGUUCGACCUUGCCCCGCGGGACCUUCGGGAGCAUGAGUACUUCUUGAGUCGUUAAUGCGAGAAUGUAGACUCAUUCACGAAAUUCCUUCGGAACCCGCAUAACGAACGGUUCCUCCUAGACCAGAGUCUGGCUCAGCUUGUCGACUCGUAUUACGAUUUCCUAUGACGACAAUUACAUGAGCUUCCAUUUACGUUGCCACAGACCGAAGUCCCCGCACAGGACACCGACCAGGUCGACCAGUUGGUACACAACCUCUGGGGCCAAGCAAAGACACUAGGACUACUCAAAGGACUACUCGAUCUGAAUAGUCGGACGAGCUCCGACAACACUACUCAUAAAGAAUCCCCGCACCGUUUGUCAAAUCUUAGUUUACAACGCUACAUAAAGAACCUGGGAGGAAAUACAAACCUACACAAUGAUUACCUAAAAUUUACUAUACAUAGAACCC